Molecule: ribosomal RNA, 305 nt
Filed under: uncultured bacterium
Lineage: Bacteria
Description: partial 16S ribosomal RNA
Rfam family: Bacterial small subunit ribosomal RNA
Source: RNAcentral
ACAGCAGCAGCCACGGUAAUACGUAGGUGGCAAGCGUUGUCCGGAAUUAUUGGGCGUAAAGGGCUCGCAGGCGGUUUCUUAAGUCUGAUGUGAAAGCCCCCGGCUCAACCGGGGAGGGUCAUUGGAAACUGGGAAACUUGAGUGCAGAAGAGGAGAGUGGAAUUCCGCGUGUAGCGGUGAAAUGCGUAGAGAUGUGGAGGAACACCAGUAGCGAAGGCGACUCUCUGGUCUGUAACUGACGCUGAGGAGCGAAAGCGUGGGGAGCGAACAGGAUUAGAUACCCCUGUAGUCCCUGUCUCUUAUAC